GGGUAAACUAAAUUUUUCUGUCUCCUAAGAAGCAAUAAAAAUUUACUUACUAGUGAAGAGGCUAGCAUAAAAAUAAAAGACAAGAAGACCCUAUAGAGCUUCCCGUAAUCUUUACAAUUAAAGCCUACCGGUUUUGUUGGGGCGACAGGGGAAAAAGAAAAACUUCCCUUUAACUAAGGCCAAUUAGCCUCUACCUUUACCCUUAAAAAAGGAUUUAAAAAAGCUACCUUAGGGAUAACAGGCUAAUUCUUCUUAAGAGCUCUAAUCGACAGAAGAGAUUGGCACCUCGAUGUUGGCUUAAGGUCCCUAUUUGGCGCAGAAGUUAAAUAAGGUGGUUUGUUCAACCAUUAAAUCCUU
Molecule: ribosomal RNA, 357 nt
Filed under: Amblyosyllis hectori
Lineage: Eukaryota; Metazoa; Annelida; Polychaeta; Phyllodocida; Syllidae
Description: partial 16S ribosomal RNA
Rfam family: Bacterial large subunit ribosomal RNA (bases 48-357)
Source: RNAcentral